AUGCAAGCUUCCAGCGUGGCCCGGCUCGUGGUAGCCCCGUCCAUUCCUGUACAGUUUGCCAGAGAAUCCCCGGGAUGGUUUGAGGUGUCCUCCUGCUGCUCCGGGGGGAUGUUAUAGAAAUCCCGCACACUG
Small nucleolar RNA from Leptobrachium leishanense (Leishan spiny toad), 132 nucleotides. Lineage: Eukaryota; Metazoa; Chordata; Amphibia; Anura; Megophryidae. The record is from Ensembl.